CAGAGGAUGGUCACCCCUGGUGACAUUAUAAAACAGUGUCUGAACUCACCCAGCUGGGGAACAGGCAGAGAAACCCCAUGGCUUCACCAUCCUCAGUGCAAUGCUAUUCAUUAUCACCUGAAAAACUCUAGGAAUCUACAGGAUGGUCCAUGGAUGCCACACUCAGACCUCCUCAGUGGUGACCUUGGUAUAUUGAACCACAAGGCUGAUAGAAGACUGGUUGCGAUGAGGAGAUCAAAAGAGCUUAUAUAUGAGAAAGAAACGAUGCUGCUCACUGUGAAUACAAAACACAGUAGUGACAGCUGCCAGUGAAGUAGCGACACUGAGCCCGGAGUUCUGCUGAGGAUGUCCCAAAGCACCUCCCGAAAGCAGGCAGCAAGACAAGCCACAGCAAUCAAACCAGAUGUUUCCAGUUCUCAGCCAACGUCGCCUGGGGACCCUCCCAUUGAGAAUGUUACCUCCCCAGUAAGACGCACUAUGCGUGGGCUUUCCCAGCAUCUCGUCAGCCCUCCCCGCCCCAACCAAACCUAACUCAGACAUCAGGGUGAUCAACCAAGCAAUUCAAAGCAAAGAGCUUAUCCACUCUAUGAACUGAAACUUCUCUGCUUUGCCUACCUUGAGUUGGCUUCAGUUUGAGCCCUAAAAUACACGUAUACGUGUCAUUUCUAAUCAGGAAAAUUUCACCUGAUCAGAAAAAUGUAUAAGGGAUAAAGAGAAAGCCAUACUUUUUUACCAUUGCCCCUUUAUGUCAGCUUCCAAAUACAAAGGUUGUAUUAAAAUUAAAUUUUCCUCAUAAAUGAAGAUAAGCUCUUCCGCAUUCAGUAAGAUACUAAUUCCCAAUUCCCAAGUCGAUAGAAAUUGGCAGCCAUUUUUAAAGCAUGUAUAUGAAGAGAUUAAACUGUGAUAUAG
This 909-nucleotide long non-coding RNA is filed under the name Equus caballus (horse). RNAcentral describes it as "lncRNA (ENSECAG00000040358.3)". The record is from RNAcentral. Lineage: Eukaryota; Metazoa; Chordata; Mammalia; Perissodactyla; Equidae.